ACAGCAGCAGCCACGGUAAUACGUAGGUGGCAAGCGUUGUCCGGAAUUAUUGGGCGUAAAGGGCUCGCAGGCGGUUCCUUAAGUCUGAUGUGAAAGCCCCCGGCUCAACCGGGGAGGGUCAUUGGAAACUGGGAAACUUGAGUGCAGAAGAGGAGAGUGGAAUUCCGCGUGUAGCGGUGAAAUGCGUAGAGAUGUGGAGGAACACCAGUGGCGAAGGCGACUCUCUGGUCUGUAACUGACGCUGAGGAGCGAAAGCGUGGGGAGCGAACAGGAUUAGAUACCCGUGUAGUCCCUGUCUCUUAUAC
This 305-nucleotide ribosomal RNA is filed under the name uncultured bacterium. Its description in RNAcentral is "partial 16S ribosomal RNA". It matches the Rfam family "Bacterial small subunit ribosomal RNA", at positions 505 to 807 of the family's 1533-position model. The record is from RNAcentral.